Molecule: ribosomal RNA, 253 nt
Filed under: uncultured bacterium
Lineage: Bacteria
Description: partial 16S ribosomal RNA
Rfam family: Bacterial small subunit ribosomal RNA
Source: RNAcentral
UACGUAGGUGGCAAGCGUUGUCCGGAUUUAUUGGGUUUAAAGGGUGCGUAGGCGGUCUAUUAAGUCAGUGCUGAAAUAUCCCGGCUUAACCGGGAGGGUGGCAUUGAUACUGAUGGACUUGAGUAAAGUUGAGGUUGGCGGAAUUGACGGUGUAGCGGUGAAAUGCUUAGAUAUCGUCAAGAACACCGAUUGCGAAGGCAGCUAACUAAGCUUAAACUGACGCUGAGGCACGAAAGUGUGGGGAUCAAACAGG